Long non-coding RNA from Hemicordylus capensis (graceful crag lizard), 1054 nucleotides. RefSeq lists it as uncharacterized. The transcript is spliced from 2 exons. The record is from RefSeq and is a predicted model, not a curated record. Lineage: Eukaryota; Metazoa; Chordata; Lepidosauria; Squamata; Cordylidae.
CCGGAGAGGCCGUCGCGGGCUUGCCCUGCAGCGGCCGGAAGAUGAAGAGGCGUGUUGGGACGUGGCUGGCCACGGGAAGCUCCGGGCUCCCCAGAGCUGAUCGCCGCCGCCGCCUCGUUCAGGUGCUACGGUUGGUGCUGAGCCCCUGCCCCCCGCCGCCAAGCCUACCUGGCUGGCUCCUCUCUGCCAGGGCGGGGACUCCGUCUGAGCCACAGAACAAGCGCUGAAGACGGCAGGUCGGCCUGGACCCCUGCGAAGAUGGCGGGGGAGAAUGGGGACUCCUCUGAGCAUGUGCAGAGGCCUUUUCUCUCACUACGAGAGGAAUGGUGAUGCCAUUUGACUGGAAAGAGAAGCAGCCGAGGGCCCAAUGGCCCGUGGCAAGAGCAGGCGGGUGGUCCAGGGACAUCUCUUCCCGCCGCCCCCCCCCAACCAGGUGCCAAGGCUCGCCAGUCUCCUGCGGGUGCAGAGCAGCCAUCAGGCUCGUUUCCGGAACAGGCACAAGCAACUCUGUGGGGUCCGUCUUUUCAUUUUACAGACUUUUGCACCCUUUUCCAGUCACCAAGCUGUUCCCAAGGCACCCUCCCCUUUUUGAAAACCCAAACCGCUCUGGCCCCGCAGGAGCCUUGCUUUUGCUGAGGGGGCAGCCGUUGCUCUCAAAGAAGACCUGCGGGGGUGUCUGGACCCUGCGCGCUGUUGCUGCCUGCAGGAGGCGGCUGCCGGGGCGAGGAGGAGGACGACGUGCCACUUGCAGCCGCGGGUGCAGCUGGUUGGAGAGAUCCUUUUGGAGCUGUUCACAAUCCGUUUGGGAUUUCACUACCUGGAAGAGUUUGGUAUCAUCUGCAAAUUUGGCCACAUCGCUGCUUACCCCUGCUUCUAGAUCAUUAAUGGAUAAAUUAAUGGGCUCAUAGGCUCUUUAUGGGAGUGUUGAAAGAAUCAGAAGAGCCGGAGAUAAGAUUACCUGAACCAGCCAAAAUUGGGUUCUUGUUAAAUACUUUGCCUAAGCAUUACAAAUGUUUAAUUAACUUCCUGCAAAUAAAGGAGAAUUUGUCUUUGA